Molecule: ribosomal RNA, 253 nt
Filed under: uncultured bacterium
Lineage: Bacteria
Description: partial 16S ribosomal RNA
Rfam family: Bacterial small subunit ribosomal RNA
Source: RNAcentral
UACGUAGGGUGCGAGCGUUAAUCGGGAUUACUGGGCGUAAAGCGUGCGCAGGCGGUUUUGUAAGACAGACGUGAAAUCCCCGGGCUUAACCCGGGAACUGCGUUUGUGACUGCAAGACUAGAGUACGGCAGAGGGGGGUAGAAUUCCACGUGUAGCAGUGAAAUGCGUAGAUAUCUGGAGGAACACCGGUGGCGAAGGCGGCGUUCUGGACUGCAACUGACACUGAGGAACGAAAGCCAGGGGAGCAAACGGG